This 452-nucleotide ribosomal RNA is filed under the name uncultured microorganism. RNAcentral's name for it is "bacterial SSU rRNA". It matches the Rfam family "Bacterial small subunit ribosomal RNA", at positions 346 to 788 of the family's 1533-position model. The record is from RNAcentral.
GUGCAGCAGUCGAGAAUAGUCUACAAUGGACGAAAGUCUGAUAGUGCGACGCCGUGUGUGCGAUUAAUUCCUUCGGGAUGUAAAGCACUUUUCUAUGAGAUAAAAGCUCUUUAGGUUAAUAGCUUAUUGAGACGGAUAUUAUUAUAGGAAUAAGCUCCGGCUAACUCCGUGCCAGCAGCCGCGGUAAUACGGAAGGAGCGAGCGUUGUCCGGAUUUACUAGGCGUAAAGGGCUAGUAGGCGACUAAUUAAGUUAUAUGUUAAAUCCCACGGCUCAACUGUGGUCCUGCAUGUAAUACUGGUUAGAUAGAGUACUGUAGAGGAAGGCAGAAUUCCUGGAGUAGCGGUGGAAUGCGCAGAUAUCAGGAAGAAUACCAAAAGCGAAGGCAGCCUUCUGGGCAGUUACUGACGCUGAAUAGCGAAGGUGUGGGUAGCGAACAGGAUUAGAUACCCC